This 497-nucleotide ribosomal RNA is filed under the name uncultured bacterium. RNAcentral describes it as "partial 16S ribosomal RNA". It matches the Rfam family "Bacterial small subunit ribosomal RNA", at positions 28 to 507 of the family's 1533-position model. The record is from RNAcentral.
GAUGAACGCUGGCGGCGUGCCUAAUACAUGCAAGUCGAGCGGACGGACGAGAAUCUUGCUUCUCUGAUGUUAGCGGCGGACGGGUGAGUAACACGAGGAUAACCUACCUAUAAGACUGGGAUAACUUCGGGAAACCGUAGCUAACACCGGAUAAGAUUUUGAACCGCAUGGUUCGAAAGUGAAAGACGGUCUUGCUGUCACUUAUAGAUGGUUACGCGCUUCUUUAGCUAGUUGGUAAGGUAACGGCCUACCAAGGCAAGUAUGCGUAGCCGACCUGAGAGGCGGAUAGGCCACACUGGAACGGAGACAGGGUCCAGACUCCUACGGGAGGCAGCAGUAGGGAAUGUUCCGCAAUGGGCGAAAACCUGACGGAGCAAGGCCGCGUGAGUGAUGAAGGUCUUCGGUUCGUAAAACUCUGUUAUUAGGGAAGAACAUAUGUGGAAGGAGCUGUGGACGGCUUGACGGUACCUAAUCAAAAAGCAACGGCUAACUACGUG